RNAcentral lists this ribosomal RNA (78 nucleotides) under Bacillus sp. M6-12. RNAcentral's name for it is "partial 16S ribosomal RNA". It matches the Rfam family "Bacterial small subunit ribosomal RNA", at positions 1 to 76 of the family's 1533-position model. Lineage: Bacteria; Bacillati; Bacillota; Bacilli; Caryophanales; Bacillaceae. The record is from RNAcentral.
UUCUAUCGGAGAGUUUGAUCCUGGCUCAGGACGAACGCUGGCGGCGUGCCUAAUACAUGCAAGUCGAGCGGACUUGAC